This 413-nucleotide ribosomal RNA is filed under the name Culicoides oxystoma. Its description in RNAcentral is "partial 16S ribosomal RNA". The record is from RNAcentral. Lineage: Eukaryota; Metazoa; Arthropoda; Insecta; Diptera; Ceratopogonidae.
GUUUGACCGUGGCAAGUAGCAUAAUCAUUUGUCUUUUAAUUAAAGGCUUGUAUGAAUGGUUGGAUGAGAUAUAAUCUAUUUUUAUUUAAUUAAAAAUGAAUUUUAAUUUUUAGUAAAAAUGCUAAAAUAAAAAAUAUAGACGAGAAGACCCUAUAAAUCUUUAUUAUUUUUUUAUUAAUUUAUUAAUAGAAUAUUGAAUUUAUUAGUAUAAAAAUAAUUUUAUUGGGGUGAUAAUGAAAUUUAAUAAACUUUUAUUUUAUUUUAUAAAUAUAAUUAAUUUAAUGAUCCAUUUUUAAUGAUUAUAAAAUUAAGUUACUUUAGGGAUAACAGCGUAAUUAUUUUAAAGAGUUCAUAUCGAUAAAAUAGUUUGCGACCUCGAUGUUGAAUUAAGAGUAAGUUUAGGUGUAGAAGUU